UAAAUACUUGCUAAAAUGCUUGACAAAUUUUUUGAAAAGUUAUCUGGCUUAAAAUAUGGCUGGGUUUGCCCAUCCCUUUAAGAGACCAGCUGUUGAUGUAUCAUUAAAGGCCAAAAAAAAAAAAAAAAAAGUCAAUUCAGCUGUGUCUGUAACCAGGCGUGUCAUAUGUAGACACUUAUACCGUGGGAGGUCACUUUAUGUGGGUUUGCAUUGACAAAAAAAGAAAGGUGUCAAACUCCAGUAGCAAAGAUAUAAACUUGUAUCAGUAGGAGAGAUAUUUACAGAACACAGCACAUUCUUUUCAAAGCAUACAUUUUUGGAAUGGCAACAAUGAAGAAUUCCGUCUCCAUGGAGAACCCAUUUAUACGCCUUGUGGGGCUGGCAAAUGUUCCAAAUCUGCCACUAUGAAAUAAUUGGCAGCGAGGAUGGGAAAAAGAAAAACCUCAUCUUAAUGCGAAUGACUUACCAGGAAAUAAAACACAGGACCUCAGAUGAGUGGGCGUUCUCCAUAGCAAACCCUGCCCACUUAACAGUUUUGCCAAGAUAUGGUCCAGAUACAGGCAUCUGAGGAUUCAUCCUGUUUUGGAGAGACUAUCCCCCAGUGUGCGUCUUGGGGAGAGGAAAUGUUCCUUAUCCAAAUAAGUCCUUACCUCUGGUUUGGCUUUCACAGUGAAGCCAAACCAGGACAGCUUGUUACACAGAGUCUGGAAAGCAGCCCUUCAUGUUGGGAUUCUGGAAUUGUGUCACUGACGAGUCAGAUUUCCAUAAGGAAAACAUACUUGGUUCUUUGCAUUAUUGGUAACCAUGUCUGCUGUGCUUUGGAAUAA
RNAcentral lists this long non-coding RNA (827 nucleotides) under Pan paniscus (pygmy chimpanzee). Its description in RNAcentral is "lncRNA (ENSPPAG00000044719.1)". Lineage: Eukaryota; Metazoa; Chordata; Mammalia; Primates; Hominidae. The record is from RNAcentral.